GACGAACGCUGGCGGCGUGCUUAACACAUGCAAGUCGAACGGAAAGGCCCUGCUUGCAGGGUACUCGAGUGGCGAACGGGUGAGUAACACGUGGGUGAUCUGCCCUGCACUUCGGGAUAGCCUGGGAAACUGGGUCUAAUACCGGAUAGGAGCCAUUUUUAGUGUGAUGGUUGGAAAGUUUUUUCGGUGUAGGAUGAGCUCGCGGCCUAUCAGCUUGUUGGUGGGGUAAUGGCCUACCAAGGCGGCGACGGGUAGCCGGCCUGAGAGGGUGGACGGCCACAUUGGGACUGAGAUACGGCCCAGACUCCUACGGGAGGCAGCAGUGGGGAAUAUUGCACAAUGGGCGCAAGCCUGAUGCAGCGACGCCGCGUGGGGGAUGACGGCCUUCGGGUUGUAAACUCCUUUCGCUAGGGACGAAGCUUUUUGUGACGGUACCUAGAGAAGAAGCACCGGCUAACUACGUG
This 464-nucleotide ribosomal RNA is filed under the name uncultured bacterium. RNAcentral describes it as "partial 16S ribosomal RNA". It matches the Rfam family "Bacterial small subunit ribosomal RNA", at positions 28 to 507 of the family's 1533-position model. The record is from RNAcentral.